This 57-nucleotide non-coding RNA is filed under the name Ruminococcus bromii. RNAcentral describes it as "pemK RNA". It matches the Rfam family "pemK RNA". The record is from RNAcentral. Lineage: Bacteria; Bacillati; Bacillota; Clostridia; Eubacteriales; Oscillospiraceae. RNAcentral also lists the same sequence under 1 other name.
AUAAUGAUACUCCUGUACGCAGCUCGGAGCAAACCUCGGAGGGGUGAGAUUCCCGUG